GACAGAGGGUGCAAACGUUGCUCGGAAUCACUGGGCGUAAAGGGCGUGUAGGCGGGCAUGUAAGUCGGGCGUGAAAUCCCUAGGCUCAACCUAGGAACUGCACUCGAAACUGCGUUUCUUGAGUAUCGGAGAGGAAAGCGGAAUACCUGGUGUAGAGGUGAAAUUCGUAGAUAUCAGGUGGAACACCAGUGGCGAAGGCGGCUUUCUGGACGAUAACUGACGCUGAGACGCGAAAGCGUGGGGAGCGAACAGG
This 253-nucleotide ribosomal RNA is filed under the name uncultured bacterium. RNAcentral describes it as "partial 16S ribosomal RNA". It matches the Rfam family "Bacterial small subunit ribosomal RNA", at positions 524 to 776 of the family's 1533-position model. The record is from RNAcentral.